UAAGCCAGGGUGCCCAAAUCCAACCUCUUUCAGCACCCUAUCAAAACAAGCAGAAGCUGCAGAUCUUUUAUACAAGGCAAAUAUGAAUACUGGAAGUGUGCUUGAAUAUGCCCUCGCCUUUACAAGUGCAUUAUUGGAUAAGUAUUGCAGUAAAUGGAAUGAUAUUCCCAAAACAAGAUUUGUUGACAGUACAACUUCAUCUACACAAUCACCCAGGAAUCCUCACUUUUCCCAGAUGUGACAAGCGAAAUAGAAAAUGAUACUUAAUUUUGAAGGCUUUGUGUUGGGCAGCUGUAGAAUAUUUUGUGCUGAAAGUAGUAACAUUUCAAUAUGUUGAAUAUUUAAGACUACUUGAAUACUUAAAGAACAUUUUGUUGUUGAUGAUAGUGUUGAAUGUUUUAAACUAAUUUGUGGAUUGUUAAUACAAUGUUGAAUGUUUUUACUUUUUGUUAUUUGAAAAUCAAGUUCAUUUGA
Humulus lupulus (European hop) is the source of this 474-nucleotide long non-coding RNA. RefSeq lists it as uncharacterized. The record is from RefSeq and is a predicted model, not a curated record. The transcript has 3 exons. Lineage: Eukaryota; Viridiplantae; Streptophyta; Magnoliopsida; Rosales; Cannabaceae.